AUAUUGGUCAAUGGACGCAAGUCUGAACCAGUCAUGCCGCGUGGAGGAUGAAGGUCCUCUGGAUUGUAAACUUCUUUUAUCUGGGAAGAAAUCACUUUUUUCUAAAGGUGUUGACGGUACCAGAUGAAUAAGCACCGGCUAACUCCGUGCCAGCAGCCGCGGUAAUACGGAGGGUGCAAGCGUUAUCCGGAUUCACUGGGUUUAAAGGGUGCGUAGGCGGAAUGGUAAGUCCGUGGUGAAAUCUCCGAGCUUAACUCGGAAACUGCCGUGGAUACUAUCAAUCUUGAAUGUUGUGGAGGUUUGCGGAAUAUGUCAUGUAGCGGUGAAAUGCUUAGAUAUGACAUAGAACACCGAUUGCGAAGGCAGCAGGCUACACAAAUAUUGACGCUGAGGCACGAAAGCGUGGGGAUCAAACAGG
RNAcentral lists this ribosomal RNA (418 nucleotides) under uncultured bacterium. Its description in RNAcentral is "bacterial SSU rRNA". It matches the Rfam family "Bacterial small subunit ribosomal RNA", at positions 361 to 776 of the family's 1533-position model. The record is from RNAcentral.